RNAcentral lists this long non-coding RNA (731 nucleotides) under Glycine max (soybean). RNAcentral describes it as "long non-coding RNA (GMAX_LNC003936)". Lineage: Eukaryota; Viridiplantae; Streptophyta; Magnoliopsida; Fabales; Fabaceae. The record is from RNAcentral.
AAAGGCUUGCUCACUUCUUCAUCUGUGAGAUGAUCGUAUUAUAAGUUAGAAUAAUGGGAUUGGACCUUGCUUCGAUCCCCUCUUUAAGAGACUCCAGAAAGUAGUUGACCCAUAGAUGUAAUAGCCGAAAUGAAACUCUUUUACGUCAUAGGAACUAGUAUCGAAUUAGAAGAGAGGUAAUUCCUUUACGUCGUAAAGAGAAGCAUGUGCCUUCCACCUAUCCUUGCAGGUAUAGCAGGGCUUUAAAGAACGCAUCGGGCAGCGAGCGGAAAAAGAAAGUCGAUUGAAUCUUGGUAAUUGAGUGAAGAAGCUCUCAGCGAACCCCUAAAUCUCGGAAGUAUUGAAUCGGGAUGGGAUCCGAUCUCUUUUGGUACACUCGAGUUAUAAGGUGUGUACAGACAGAUAGGCUUCCUUUCGAAAGGCUAGGCACCAAGGAGCGAUAGCCUAUGAAAGCAGAUAAAACUCAAAACUCCUAAACCUAAGGCAGCCUUUCUCCUUAUUAUUUCUCUUAAAUAAGAGAUAGCACCAGCCUAAUCCAAGAAUGUUGAUUCUUCUCUUUCAAAAAAAAGACUUUGGCUAUUCAAAGCAAUCCGCCCAAUGAGCUACGGCUAGAUGAGCUAAGGUCAGUGGAUUCCUCUCUUUAAAUUCCUAAAUAAAAGAAGACAGGAUCUUCUACUUAUUUAUAUAUGCCAACUGCAACUGAUUCCACUUGAGCAAGAGUAGCUUGCCGA